UACUAGAAUGGGUGACCUCCCG
This 22-nucleotide non-coding RNA is filed under the name Arabidopsis thaliana (thale cress). Lineage: Eukaryota; Viridiplantae; Streptophyta; Magnoliopsida; Brassicales; Brassicaceae. The record is from RNAcentral.